RNAcentral lists this ribosomal RNA (497 nucleotides) under uncultured bacterium. RNAcentral describes it as "partial 16S ribosomal RNA". It matches the Rfam family "Bacterial small subunit ribosomal RNA", at positions 28 to 507 of the family's 1533-position model. The record is from RNAcentral.
GAUGAACGCUGGCGGCGUGCCUAAUACAUGCAAGUCGAGCGAACAGACGAGGAGCUUGCUCCUCUGACGUUAGCGGCGGACGGGUGAGUAACACGUGGAAAACCUACCUAUAAGACUGGGAUAACUUCGGGAAACCGGAGCUAAUACCGGAUAAUAUAUUGAACCGCAUGGUUCAAUAGUGAAAGACGGUUUUGCUGUCACUUAUAGAUGGAUCCGCGCCGCAUUAGCUAGUUGGUAAGGUAACGGCUUACCAAGGCAACGAUGCGUAGCCGACCUGAGAGGGUGAUCGGCCACACUGGAGCUGAGACACGGUCCAGACUCCUACGGGAGGCAGCAGUAGGGAAUCUUCCGCAAUGGGCGAAAGCCUGACGGAGCAACGCCGCGUGAGUGAUGAAGGUCUUCGGAUCGUAAAACUCUGUUAUUAGGGAAGAACAAAUGUGUAAGUAACUAUGCACGUCUUGACGGUACCUAAUCAGAAAGCCACGGCUAACUACGUG